RNAcentral lists this ribosomal RNA (402 nucleotides) under bacterium. RNAcentral describes it as "partial 16S ribosomal RNA". It matches the Rfam family "Bacterial small subunit ribosomal RNA", at positions 355 to 776 of the family's 1533-position model. The record is from RNAcentral.
UGGGGAAUUUUGCACAAUGGGGGAAACCCUGAUGCAGCGACGCCGCGUGAUUUAGAAGGCCUUCGGGUUGUAAAAAUCUUUUCUAUGGGAAGAAAAUGACAGUACCAUAGGAAUAAGGACCGGCUAAUUACGUGCCAGCAGCCGCGGUAAUACGUAAGGUCCGAGCGUUGUCCGGAAUCAUUGGGCGUAAAGGGUACGUAGGCGGGUAAGCAAGUUAGAAGUGAAAUCCUAUAGCUCAACUAUAGUAAGCUUUUAAAACUGCUCAUCUUGAGGUAUGGAAGGGAAAGUGGAGUUCCUAGUGUAGCGGUGAAAUGCGCAGAUAUUAGGAGGAAUACCGGUGGCGAAGGCGACUUUCUGGCCAUAACCUGACGCUGAGGUACGAAAGCGUGGGUAGCAAACAGG